GCGUGGAGUGCGGACGGGCAGCCGGUUGGGCUGGGCCCGGAAGGGUGUGCAGUAGAGCAAGAGGAGGAAGUGGAGGGAAAGGAACCAGAUGCUUCUGAGACAGGCUACCAUCUCUGCGUGCAGUCCCCGCGGAAUUUACGCACUUUCGUCUUGUGCUCUUAGAUGUUCUCCAGAGACUUUGGGAGCCGAGGUGAAGAUGGCGCAACUACCAGAGGGAGAGCUGGAUUCUAGAGUCCCCACUUGCUUGCCUGGAAGGAGAUCUGCUCAGAACUGCCAGGAUGUCAGAACACGGCUCUGGGCUUCCCUGGAGGAUCCAGUCUCAGCUGGUUGCUCCUCACAUGUGAUCCC
RNAcentral lists this long non-coding RNA (348 nucleotides) under Homo sapiens (human). RNAcentral's name for it is "non-protein coding lnc-SLC15A4-1:1". Lineage: Eukaryota; Metazoa; Chordata; Mammalia; Primates; Hominidae. The record is from RNAcentral.